UACGUAGGGUGCGAGCGUUAAUCGGAAUUACUGGGCGUAACGCGUGCGCAGGCGGUUUUGUAAGCCAGAUGGGAAAUCCCCGGGCUUAACCUGGGAAUGGCAUUUGGGACUGCAUAGCUAGAGUACGGUAGAGGGGGAUGGAAUUCCGCGUGUAGCAGUGAAAUGCGUAGAUAUGCGGAGGAACACCGAUGGCGAAGGCAAUCCCCUGGACCUGUACUGGCGCUCAUGCACGAAAGCGUGGGGAGCAAACAGG
This 253-nucleotide ribosomal RNA is filed under the name uncultured bacterium. RNAcentral's name for it is "partial 16S ribosomal RNA". It matches the Rfam family "Bacterial small subunit ribosomal RNA", at positions 524 to 776 of the family's 1533-position model. The record is from RNAcentral.